GGGCCCGCACAAGCGGUGGAGUAUGUGGUUUAAUUCGAUGCAACGCGAAGAACCUUACCAGGGUUUGACAUCCUGCGAAUCUCUUGGAAACUUGAGAGUGCCUUCGGGAGCGCAGUGACAGGUGGUGCAUGGCUGUCGUCAGCUCGUGUCGUGAGAUGUUGGGUUAAGUCCCGCAACGAGCGCAACCCACGUCUUUAGUUGCUACCAUUUAGUUGGGCACUUUAAGGAAACUGCCGGUGAUAAGCCGGAGGAAGGUGGGGAUGACGUCAAGUCCUCAUGGCCCUUACAGGCUGGGCUACACACGUGCUACAAUGGCGAUGACAGUGGGCAGCGACCCCGCAAGGGUGAGCUAA
Molecule: ribosomal RNA, 353 nt
Filed under: uncultured bacterium
Lineage: Bacteria
Description: bacterial SSU rRNA
Rfam family: Bacterial small subunit ribosomal RNA
Source: RNAcentral